Long non-coding RNA from Scatophagus argus, 1904 nucleotides. RefSeq lists it as uncharacterized. The record is from RefSeq and is a predicted model, not a curated record. Lineage: Eukaryota; Metazoa; Chordata; Actinopteri; Scatophagidae. The transcript is spliced from 3 exons.
UUCGAAUUGUCUCCGCCGAUGCCAAAAUAUUGUUUAAUACGGUGGCCGGGAAGUGCAAACCAACAUUACAAAAUGUGAAACACGUUUAUACCUUUGAGACAAAUUUUGGAAAACAUUUUACAUAUCAUAAAACAAAAUUACAUUACCAAAACAAAUUUACAAGUCCCGAAACAAUUCUUUCUCAUUUCAGAAAACAAAUUAACACCACGCGAAACACUUUUACAAACGCCGAAACAAAUUUACAAGUGGCGAAACACUUUAACAUUUUCCAAGAAUCAACCGGAAAGGGAAUGUACCAUCUCCGGGUUUGGACCGGAAGUGAUAAAGAGGAGCGGCCAAUACGAAUCGUUGUUGUUUAUGGAGUUCACGGUCAUCCAAGAUGGACAGCGAAAGAGUGAAGUUUUGCCCGUUCUGUGGACAACAUAUGGGCCGCUUAACGCGGUUUUGUUUUUCGUGCGGUCAGUCUUUAGUGUUUUUAAAUAGUGUGGCGCAGUCGGAACGACCAGAUAUGCUGCAGCAGUGCGUAAGAUAUUUUAAUGAGGGACACUCGCACGCCGCAAACUUCGUGGACCUGGACACCCGUUUGGCUACCGCAUGGUGUGGCAGGUAUUCAAACAAAAGUACACGAGUGAAGAGGGAUCACGUGAUGAAUUUGCUCCGGGAGCUCAAUCCUCGACGGUGUGAUAGGAGAGCGUGCAGAAGGUUUGUCGGAAGAACAUACCACUCAAUGGGACCUAACUAUAUGUGGCACGCAGAUGGUUAUGAUAAACUCAAGUCAUUCGGUUUGGCUCUUUCGGGCUGUAUCGAUGGAUUUUCACGUAAAGUUUUGUGGCUUGCAUGUGGACCGAGAAAUAAUGACCGAAGUGUGUUCGCCCACUAUUUUCUGCUUGUGUGCGAAACCUUGGAGUCACUCCCAUGAGGCCGAGGACUGAUUUCGGCACGGAGAACGGGAUCAUGGCUGCGAUUCAGUGCACCCUACGCCACCACCACAAACUGCCACUCUGGAGUUUCCAGCCACAUGUAUGGCUCAUCCACAAGCAAGGAUUCAAGGAGCUUUAUUCUCAUUUCACACAUGUAGAAACAUGUGAGGUGGAACAAAAUUAGUUUCCCCAAUCCCGGUAUAAGCCCAAUAACCUAACAAAAUACCGAACAACCAGAGGAUCAGAAAGGGAAGGUGUCAGUUUUGGGUGGAGCCAUUUGCAGACCUUAGAGAUGCCAGAUACUUCAGUGGAAGUAGGAGGACCUGGAUGAGUGUGUGAGACUGUGGCUCAGUCACAGGAUUCAGAACAGCAUCAUGUCCAGGAGGGAUGCCCAAUGAGCUCUACUACUUACCACACAGGUUUGGCUCCAGAGACUGUGGAUUUAAAAUUGAACAGGCUGAACUGGAUGUCUUUCCUGAUACUCGCCUGACAAGAGCUCCAUGUGGGGACGCAAACAUGCAGGAGUACGUCAACUUAGCCAUGGAGCACAAUCAUUUACAGAACCCAGAGUACUGGCAGUCUGUAACUGAACUGAAUCUAAGAGUAAAAGAAAUUGCUCAAAUGUGAAUGGAAGAGAGGUUUAUUGUAAUAGUGGAACAUGUACACAAAGUGUGUGAAUUUGUCACCUACAGCUUAAUUAUUUCAAAGAGGGAAACAUGAAUGGAAAAAAAAAGCAAAGUAAUGAGCAGUUAUUACAUUUUUGUACAGAGAACAAAAUCUCUUGAAAUGCUUGUUGUUGUUUUUUUCAUUCUAAAUCUAAAACAGUGAUUCAUAAACAGACAACAGUUUGAGAAUCGUGGAUCUAAAACAACUGACUGAGCAAAAAUGCUUACAUACUUUUAACAUUUUAAAAACCUCUUUAACAAAAGCUACUGCACAUUUAGGUGCACCAAUGACAACAGCAACAAAAACCAAACAAGGUUU